ACUCAAAUGAAUUGACGGGGGCCCGCACAAGCAGCGGAGCGUGUGGUUUAAUUCGAUGCAACGCGAAGAACCUUACCCGGGCUUGACAUGCACGUGGUACUGAGGGGAAACCCGAGGGACCCGCGAGGGAGCGUGCACAGGUGCUGCACGGCUGUCGUCAGCUCGUGCCGUGAGGUGUUGGGUUAAGUCCCGCAACGAGCGCAACCCCCGCCGCCAGUUAUGAUGUCUGGCGGGACCGCCGGGACCAACCCGGAGGAAGGUGGGGACGACGUCAAGUCAGCGUGGCCCUUACGUCCGGGGCUACACACACGCUACAAGGGCCGGGACAAUGGGUAGCGAGGGCGCGAGCCGGAGCCAAUCCCAGCAAACCCGGCCCCAGUUCGGAUCGGAGGCUGCAACCCGCCUCCGUGAAGUCGGAGUUGCUAGUAACCGCCGGUCAGCACACGGCGGUGAAUGCGUUCCCGGGCCUUGCACACACCGCCCGU
This 485-nucleotide ribosomal RNA is filed under the name uncultured bacterium. Its description in RNAcentral is "partial 16S ribosomal RNA". It matches the Rfam family "Bacterial small subunit ribosomal RNA", at positions 899 to 1397 of the family's 1533-position model. The record is from RNAcentral.